RNAcentral lists this ribosomal RNA (512 nucleotides) under Pseudozyma sp. NII08165. RNAcentral's name for it is "eukaryotic LSU rRNA". It matches the Rfam family "Eukaryotic large subunit ribosomal RNA", at positions 106 to 624 of the family's 3401-position model. The record is from RNAcentral. Lineage: Eukaryota; Fungi; Basidiomycota; Ustilaginomycetes; Ustilaginales; Ustilaginaceae.
AGCCCAAGAUUGAAAGCUGGCACCUUCGGUGUCCGCAUUGUAAUCUCAAGAAGUGUUUUCCGCUUCGGACCAUGCCUAAGUCUCCUGGAAAGGAGCAUCAUAGAGGGUGAUAAUCCCGUACAUGGCAUGGAGCGCCCGAAGCUUUGUGAUACGCUUUCUAAGAGUCGAGUUGUUUGGGAAUGCAGCUCAAAAUGGGUGGUAAAUGCCAUCUAAGGCUAAAUAUUGGGGAGAGACCGAUAGCGAACAAGUACAGUGAUGGAAAGAUGAAAAGAACUUUGAAAAGAGAGUUAAACAGUACGUGAAAUUGCCAAAAGGGAAGGGUAGGAGGUCAGAGAUGCCGUCUGGGAUUCAGCCUUGCUUUUGCUUGGUGUUUUUCCCAGUUGGCAGGCCAACGUCGGUUUUGGGCACUGGAGAAGGGUGGGAGGAAUGUGGCACCCCUCGGGGUGUGUUAUAGCCUCCUACUGGAUACAGCGACCGAGACCGAGGACAGCAGCGUACUCGCAAGAGCGGGC